AAAGGAAUUGACGGGGACCCCGACAAGCGGUGGAUGAUGUGGUUUAAUUCGAUGCAACGCGAAAAACCUUACCCACCUUUGACAUGGCAGGAACUUACCAGAGAUGGUUUGGUGCUCGAAAGAGAACCUGCACACAGGUGCUGCAUGGCUGUCGUCAGCUCGUGUCGUGAGAUGUUGGGUUAAGUCCCGCAACGAGCGCAACCCUUGCCAUUAGUUGCUACAUUCAGUUGAGCACUNUAAUGGGACUGCCGGUGACAAACCGGAGGAAGCUGGGGACGACGUCAAGUCAUCAUGGCCCUUACGGGAUGGGCUACACACGUGCUACAAUGGCAAGUACAGAGGGCAGCAAUACCGCGAGGUGGAGCGAAUCCCACAAAGCUUGUCGUAGUCCGGAUUGGAGUCUGCAACUCGACUCCAUGAAGUCGGAAUCGCUAGUAAUCGUAGAUCAGAAUGUUACGGUGAAUACGUUCCCGGGCCUUGUACACACCGCCCGUCACA
Molecule: ribosomal RNA, 498 nt
Filed under: uncultured beta proteobacterium
Lineage: Bacteria; Pseudomonadati; Pseudomonadota; Betaproteobacteria
Description: bacterial SSU rRNA
Rfam family: Bacterial small subunit ribosomal RNA
Source: RNAcentral